ACGAGGAUGUUGGCGCCGACGAUGAAGCCGAUGGCGAUGGGCGCGAUGGUGCCGAGGGAGCCCUUCUUGGGGUCGGCCGCGGUGGCGUACACGGUGUAGACGAGGCCGAAGGUGACGAUGAUCUCCAUCACCACGCCCUCCAACGCGCCGAUGCCCGACAGGCCGUGGGUCGGGGUCGCCUGCAUGCCCAAGAGAAAACUUGCGUCAGUGUUCGGUUUGCUUAUCGAGCUCUAGCUGCCGGCGGCGAACUUGUUGACGUACUACGCCGGUGGAGUACUGGACGAGGACGGCGCCGACGAUGGCGCCGAGGAGCUGGGCGAUCCAGUAGAAGAGGCCGGUGAGGAUGGUGAUCUGGCCGCCGAGGGCGAGGCCGAAGGUGACGGCGGGGUUCACGUGGCCGCCGGAGAUGUUGGCGCCGAUGGCGACCGCGACGAACAGCCCGAACCCGUGGCACACCGCCACGGCGACCAGGCCGGCCGCGUCAAGAGGCGCGCCGCCGCUCAACUUGGCUGCAACGAUCCACCGAUACGGUUCGUUAGUGAACGCACAUCGUCGACCAAGCACAUGCAAGUUAGUUAGUUGUAAUGACCAAUGACUCACUGUAGGCGAUAGCGGAGCCGACGCCGGCGAAGACGAAGACGAGGGUGGAGAUGAACUCGGCGACGUAGGCCUUGAGGGAGGCCGCGCUGAAGGAGUCAUCGAAGCGGCCGAAGGCGAUGUUGCCCGACAUGGUGGCGGUGGCAGGGAAGGGCGAGGAGCUGACUGACCAAGGGGAUAGGAGCUACGAUGGUAGCCACUGGCUGAGAAU
This 808-nucleotide long non-coding RNA is filed under the name Setaria viridis. Its description in RNAcentral is "long non-coding RNA (SVIR_LNC004622)". Lineage: Eukaryota; Viridiplantae; Streptophyta; Magnoliopsida; Poales; Poaceae. The record is from RNAcentral.